GUGGAUUAGAUACCCUGGUAGUCCACGCCGUAAACGAUGGAUACUAGCUGUUGGAAGCAAUUUCAGUGGCUAAGCGAAAGUGAUAAGUAUCCCACCUGGGGAGUACGAACGCAAGUUUGAAACUCAAAGGAAUUGACGGGGGCCCGCACAAGCGGUGGAGCAUGUGGUUUAAUUCGAUGAUACGCGAGGAACCUUACCAAGGCUUAAAUGCAGACUGACCGAUUUGGAAACAGAUCUUUCGCAAGACAGUUUACAAGGUGCUGCACGGUUGUCGCCAACU
This 280-nucleotide ribosomal RNA is filed under the name uncultured bacterium. RNAcentral's name for it is "partial 16S ribosomal RNA". It matches the Rfam family "Bacterial small subunit ribosomal RNA", at positions 773 to 1060 of the family's 1533-position model. The record is from RNAcentral.